GCCAGACUCCUACGGGAGGCAGCAGUGAGGAAUAUUGGUCAAUGGCCGGAAGGCUGAACCAGCCAAGCCGCGUGAAGGACGAAGGUGCCAAGCAUUGUAAACUUCUUUUGUCAAGGGACAAAAUCAGGCUCGAGAGCCUGACCGAGGGUACUUGAAGAAAAAGCAUCGGCUAACUCCGUGCCAGCAGCCGCGGUAAUACGGAAGGUCCGGACGUUAUCCGGAUUUAUUGGGUUUAAAGGGAGCGUAGGCCGGCUUUUAGGUAGGCGGUAAAAGCCCGGGGCUCAACCCCGGCGAGCCGUUGAAACUGGCUGUCUUGAGAUGUCGAGAGGUAUGCGGAAUGCGCAGUGUAGCGGUGAAAUGCAUAGAUAUCGCGCAGAACUCCGAUUGCGAAGGCAGCAUGCCGGCUCCACACUGACGCUGAGGCACGAAAGCGUGGGUAUCGAACAGGAUUAGAUACCCUAGUAA
RNAcentral lists this ribosomal RNA (465 nucleotides) under uncultured bacterium. Its description in RNAcentral is "bacterial SSU rRNA". It matches the Rfam family "Bacterial small subunit ribosomal RNA", at positions 330 to 793 of the family's 1533-position model. The record is from RNAcentral.